This is a long non-coding RNA of Dama dama (fallow deer), 1342 nucleotides long. RefSeq lists it as uncharacterized. The transcript is spliced from 8 exons. NCBI's taxonomy places the organism in Eukaryota, Metazoa, Chordata, Mammalia, Artiodactyla, Cervidae. The record is from RefSeq and is a predicted model, not a curated record.
CUGAGCCCGCGCCGGGGCCCCUUCGAACCGCUCUGGGCGGGGCGGGAGGCGAAGGCGGCCCUGGCCGGCGCUCGCUGGUUGGGUUCGUGGCUCAGGCCUAGUGGGGACCUGCACCCCACGUUUGAGGCCUCCGCAAUAUGCGGACGCCACGUCGGCGUUGUCACUGACCGGACCGGAACCCAGGCUUGAGAAGCGCGAGUUGUGGGGGCCGCGGGGUACGACGAGGGUGACUGGGUAGAGAGGUGGAGCCAGCAGGAAAAAUGUCUUUGAGGAGUUGACGUUGGAAUUGAAGUCAAGAGAAUGAGGAGAUAGCAUUGGGAAAAGGAAGGCAGAGACAUUCCAAAUCAAGAACAGCUUGCACCAAGGUCCUGAGAAAGGGAUAGAGUCACCAAAAUUUGGCAAGGUAUAAACCCAUCCAUGAGAAAGACUACAUUCUCCCAGCCACUCUUACAGUAAUCUGAAACUGAACCCAUGAUAUCUCCGAGGAAUGCAUGUGCAGCCCUUAAUCCUGGCCAGUGGGAUCUGCCUGAAGUGAACUGCCCUCUGAAAAUAUUAAAUGGAAAAUCCCAGGAAAAAAAAAAGCCUGAAGUUUUAAAUUGCACACCGUUCUGAGUAGCAUGAUGAAAUUUUGUGCUGCCCCGCUGUCCUGCGUGGGAUCCACAACCAUCAACAUCAUCUGCUUCUGGCAUCCAAACCCCAACACUGUCAUGGCUCAGUGACCCAGGAUCACCUGAAGCAGAUUUCCUACGUUGAAAACACAUUAUUAAUUUUAAAAUUAAGUAUGCUUUAAAGAUUAUUACAGAGAAAAUCCCUACUGAGUGGCACUUGGCACAGUGGAACUGCAAAAACUCUGCUCUCAAGAAACACGGAGAUGAGAACAAAAAUACUGACUACCCCAGACUGACUGUAGAGAGGACAUGAGAUCAUGUAGAGGAGCACCUGGCACAAGACUCUUGAGAAUCCCUCGGAAUGUGAGGAGAUCAAACCAGUCAAUCCUAAAGGGAAUCAAUCCUGAAUAUUCAUUGGAAGGACUGAUGCUGAAGCUGAAGCUCCAAUACUUUGGACACCUGAUCCGAAGAGCCCACUCAUUGGAAAACACCCUGAUGCUGGGAAAGAUAGAAGGCAGGAGGAGAAGGGGACAACAGAGGAUGAGAUGGUUGGACGGCAUCACCAACUCAGUGGGCAUGGUUUAAGCAAGUUCUGGGAAAUGGUGAAGGACAGAGAGGCCUGGUGUGCUGGAGUCCAUGUGGUCACAAAGAGUCAGAUACGAUUGAUCGACUGUACUACUUUGUUAAUCGGCUACACCCCAAUACAAAAUAAAAAGUUUUUUUUUUUUUUUUAA